UGUAUUUAAGUGUCUCUCUGUCUUGCUAAUGGAUUGAGCCUUAUGUAAACUGGCUGAUGGAUCUAGUAUUGCACUUUAUUGUAUUUGCUGACUGCCCAUUGUUGCAUUACAUCUGGGUAUCUACUCCCCUUAGCUGGAAACUAAAGCUCAAAUGCUCUUUCCUGCUAAUGGUUAAUAUGCUAAGCACAAUCAUUGGCCAUUACUUCUCUGGGUCUAAACUUGUCUAAAGGUUGUUACAUGCUAAUGCUAAUUUAUCUCUGAAGGUACGAACUUAUCACCUUCUUCUAUAAUGUGAGUUGGUCUCAGAGCAAUCCUAACUUGGAUUGAAUAAGCAUGGUAUUAUCUACUUUUGAGAUGUACACUGUGAAUCCCUUAAGGACCAAGGCUUUUCUGAAAUGAAACCUGUUUGUGGACAUGCCGUUUUGGUCAUUUUGCCAUGGCUUUAUUCCACCACAAUUUCCUCCAUUCUGUUUAGGUGCACCCCAUACAGAUUUUAUAUUUGUUAAAGGAGAAAUGAGGCUUUCUUUUGAUAUCCU
Pelobates cultripes (western spadefoot toad) is the source of this 536-nucleotide non-coding RNA. The record is from the annotation of a GenBank genome assembly. Lineage: Eukaryota; Metazoa; Chordata; Amphibia; Anura; Pelobatidae.